Molecule: ribosomal RNA, 576 nt
Filed under: uncultured eukaryote
Lineage: Eukaryota
Description: SSU rRNA
Rfam family: Eukaryotic small subunit ribosomal RNA
Source: RNAcentral
UAUUUAUUAGAUAAAAAACCAACGCCCUUCGGGGCUCCUUGGUGAAUCAUAAUAACUUAACGAAUCGCAUGGCCUUGCGCCGGCGAUGGUUCAUUCAAAUUUCUGCCCUAUCAACUUUCGAUGGUAGGAUAGUGGCCUACCAUGGUGGCAACGGGUAACGGGGAAUUAGGGUUCGAUUCCGGAGAGGGAGCCUGAGAAACGGCUACCACAUCCAAGGAAGGCAGCAGGCGCGCAAAUUACCCAAUCCCGAUACGGGUAGGUAGUGACAAUAAAUACUGAUACGGGGCUCUUUUGGGUCUCGUAAUUGGAAUGAGAACAAUUUAAAUCCCUUAACGAGGAACAAUUGGAGGGCAAGUCUGGUGCCAGCAGCCGCGGUAAUUCCAGCUCCAAUAGCGUAUAUUAAAGUUGUUGCAGUUAAAAAGCUCGUAGUUGAACCUUGGGUCUGGCUGGCCGGUCCGCCUCACCGCGAGUACUGGUCCGGCUGGACCUUUCCUUCUGGGGAACCUCAUGGCCUUCACUGGCUGUGGGGGGAACCAGGACUUUUACUGUGAAAAAAUUAGAGUGUUCAAAGCAGGC